CAGAGUACGUGAACCGUUCAGGGGUAAACCUGCGAAACUCGAAUGAACGAACGGAGAGAUUCAUCGUCAUUCCGCGGCGUACUAGCCCGCGCCUCGAUGCGCGCGCGUUUCGGCGCGCGCGCACGGGUCGGGCGUGUCGACGUCCGCGGACGGCGUGCACUUCUCUCUCAGUACACAAAUACAUCGCGACCCGUUCGACUCCACUGUCUAAGCGCGGUCCGGGAGCCGAGCGGCGGCGUCUCAACAACGUCAGCCGUUCGACCGCGACCGUGGCCGACAGUAGUCGGACGGUAGUUUUCGACUAGAAUCGCGCACGCGCCUCGCGCGCGUCAGGCCCGACGCAAGUGUUCGUGUCGUCGCCCGUUUCCUGCCUAUGUGCGGACGCGGGCGCGGCGCCGCUGUCGUCGCAGCCGGCACAGUCUCUGACCGUGCGCGUAUCUGUCGGCGAUGUUUCAGUUUCGGGCACUCGCAGGACCCGUCUUGAAACACGGACCAAGGAGUCUAGCAUGUGUGCGAGUCA
RNAcentral lists this ribosomal RNA (520 nucleotides) under Pieris brassicae (large cabbage white). RNAcentral describes it as "partial 28S ribosomal RNA". The record is from RNAcentral. Lineage: Eukaryota; Metazoa; Arthropoda; Insecta; Lepidoptera; Pieridae.